Long non-coding RNA from Ictalurus punctatus (channel catfish), 350 nucleotides. NCBI's taxonomy places the organism in Eukaryota, Metazoa, Chordata, Actinopteri, Siluriformes, Ictaluridae. The record is from Ensembl.
AACAAAACAACACCAGCGGUUCUAAUCCUUCAUCUUUCCCACAUUUUGAAAGUAUGCAUGACAUAGUCAUCGACCUUUGUCCAACAUUUCCGAGAAUGGAGUGGACAUUGGGUUUGACGGGGACGAGGAUGCAGCGGAACACUCGAAUUCAGUGGACGGUGUGUGCCUUUCCAAAUCAUGUCCAAUCAACUGAAUUUAUCACAAUUGGACUCCAAUCAAGUUGUAGAAACAUCUCAAGGAUGAUCAGUGGAAACAGGAUGCCCCCCAAGCUCAAUUUUGAGUGUCGUGGCAAAGGCUGUGAAUACUUAUGUACAUGUGAUUUUUUUUUUUUUUUUUAAAUAAAUUUGCAA